UACAGAGGGUGCAAGCGUUAAUCGGAAUUACUGGGCGUAAAGCGUGCGUAGGCGGUUAUUUAAGUCAGGUGUGAAAGCCCCGGGCUCAACCUGGGAAUUGCAUUUGAGACUGAAUAGCUAGGGUGCGGUAGAGGGAAGCGGAAUUUCCGGUGUAGCGGUGAAAUGCGUAGAUAUCGGAAGGAACACCAGUGGCGAAGGCGGCUUCCUGGUCCAGCACCGACGUUCAGGCACGAAAGCGUGGGGAGCAAACAGG
This 253-nucleotide ribosomal RNA is filed under the name uncultured bacterium. RNAcentral's name for it is "partial 16S ribosomal RNA". It matches the Rfam family "Bacterial small subunit ribosomal RNA", at positions 524 to 776 of the family's 1533-position model. The record is from RNAcentral.